GAGGGUGUAGCUCAAGUGGUAGAGUGCCUGCUUAGCAUGCAGGAGGUCCUGAGUUCAAUUCCGAGUACCUCCU
This 73-nucleotide transfer RNA is filed under the name Camelus bactrianus (Bactrian camel). It matches the Rfam family "tRNA". Rfam says of the family: Transfer RNA (tRNA) molecules are approximately 80 nucleotides in length. Their secondary structure includes four short double-helical elements and three loops (D, anti-codon, and T loops). Lineage: Eukaryota; Metazoa; Chordata; Mammalia; Artiodactyla; Camelidae. The record is from Rfam by way of RNAcentral. RNAcentral also lists the same sequence under 1 other name.